AUUUUUUUUUUGGGGGGGGGGGGGCAACUUGCAAAAUCAUCAGUUUCAUAAAGCAACAGGUUACCAUAGCUUCCCUAUUAGAAGCGCACUCACGGAUUUCCAGGGGUACACAUUAUCACAGUUAUUGUGGCCCUU
Lacerta agilis (Sand lizard) is the source of this 135-nucleotide long non-coding RNA. RefSeq lists it as uncharacterized. NCBI's taxonomy places the organism in Eukaryota, Metazoa, Chordata, Lepidosauria, Squamata, Lacertidae. The transcript is spliced from 3 exons. The record is from RefSeq and is a predicted model, not a curated record.